Ameiurus melas (black bullhead) is the source of this 72-nucleotide non-coding RNA. Lineage: Eukaryota; Metazoa; Chordata; Actinopteri; Siluriformes; Ictaluridae. The record is from the annotation of a GenBank genome assembly.
GGGGAUGUACCUCAGUGGUAGAGUGCUUGCUUUGCAUGUAUGAAGUUUAGGGGUCAAUCCCCUGCGACUUCA